Molecule: long non-coding RNA, 234 nt
Filed under: Mus musculus (house mouse)
Lineage: Eukaryota; Metazoa; Chordata; Mammalia; Rodentia; Muridae
Description: long non-coding RNA chr2:45329231-45329465
Source: RNAcentral
AUCUGUUUUGACAUGACUGAGGAGGCAUACAUGACAAAAGGUGGCUACAGAUUUUGCUACAAAUGUAUUCAUCAGAGUUUGGAGGACAAUAAUAGAUGUCCCGAGUGUAAUUAUGUUGUGGGCAAUAUUGACCAUCUCUAUCCUAAUUUAUUGGUGAGAGAGCUCAUUCUCAAACAGAAGCAAAGAUUUGAGGAAAAGAGGUUCAAAUUGGACCACUCAGUGAGUACCACCAAU